UACGAAGGGGGCUAGCGUUGCUCGGAUUGACUGGGCGUAAAGGGCGCGUUAGGCGGUUUUUUAAGUGAGGCGUUGAAAGCCCUGGGCUUAACCCAGGAGGUGCGUUUCAUACUGGAAGGCUUGAGUACGGGAGAGGAAAGUGGAGUUCCUAGUGUAGAGGUGAAAUUCGUAGAUAUUAGGAAGAACACCAGAGGCGAAGGCGGCUUCUGGCUCCGUAACUGACGCUGAGGCGCGAAAGCGUGGGGAGCAAACAGG
RNAcentral lists this ribosomal RNA (255 nucleotides) under uncultured bacterium. RNAcentral describes it as "partial 16S ribosomal RNA". It matches the Rfam family "Bacterial small subunit ribosomal RNA", at positions 524 to 776 of the family's 1533-position model. The record is from RNAcentral.